Molecule: ribosomal RNA, 504 nt
Filed under: uncultured bacterium
Lineage: Bacteria
Description: partial 16S ribosomal RNA
Rfam family: Bacterial small subunit ribosomal RNA
Source: RNAcentral
AUUGAACGCUGGCGGCAGGCCUAACACAUGCAAGUCGAACGGUAGCACAGAGAGCUUGCUCUCGGGUGACGAGUGGCGGACGGGUGAGUAACGUCUGGGAAACUGCCCGAUGGAGGGGGAUAACUACUGGAAACGGUAGCUAAUACCGCAUAACGUCGCAAGACCAAAGUGGGGGACCUUCGGGCCUCACACCAUCGGAUGUGCCCAGAUGGGAUUAGCUAGUAGGUGGGGUAAUGGCUCACCUAGGCGACGAUCCCUAGCUGGUCUGAGAGGAUGACCAGCCACACUGGAACUGAGACACGGUCCAGACUCCUACGGGAGGCAGCAGUGGGGAAUAUUGCACAAUGGGCGCAAGCCUGAUGCGGCCAUGCCGCGUGUAUGAAGAAGGCCUUCGGGUUGUAAAGCACUUUCAGUAGGGAGGAAGAGUUGAGUGUUAAUAGUACUCAGCUUUGACGUUACCUACAGAAGAAGCACCGGCUAACUCUGUGCCAGCCGCCGCGGUAA